This 77-nucleotide transfer RNA is filed under the name Candidatus Saccharimonadota bacterium. RNAcentral's name for it is "tRNA-Ile". It matches the Rfam family "tRNA". Rfam says of the family: Transfer RNA (tRNA) molecules are approximately 80 nucleotides in length. Their secondary structure includes four short double-helical elements and three loops (D, anti-codon, and T loops). Further hydrogen bonds mediate the characteristic L-shaped molecular structure. tRNAs have two regions of fundamental functional importance: the anti-codon, which is responsible for specific mRNA codon recognition, and the 3' end, to which the tRNAs corresponding amino acid is attached (by aminoacyl-tRNA synthetases). tRNAs cope with the degeneracy of the genetic code in two manners: having more than one tRNA (with a specific anti-codon) for a particular amino acid; and 'wobble' base-pairing, i.e. permitting non-standard base-pairing at the 3rd anti-codon position. Lineage: Bacteria; Candidatus Saccharimonadota. The record is from RNAcentral. RNAcentral also lists the same sequence under 2 other names.
GGGGGUAUAGCUCAGUUGGUCAGAGCAUGCGUCUUAUACACGCAGUGUCCUUGGUUCGAGUCCAAGUACCCCCACCA